AUUGAACGCUGGCGGCAGGCCUAACACAUGCAAGUCGAGCGGAUGAAGGGAGCUUGCUCCCGGAUUCAGCGGCGGACGGGUGAGUAAUGCCUAGGAAUCUGCCUGGUAGUGGGGGAUAACGUCCGGAAACGGGCGCUAAUACCGCAUACGUCCUGAGGGAGAAAGUGGGGGAUCUUCGGACCUCACGCUAUCAGAUGAGCCUAGGUCGGAUUAGCUAGUUGGUGGGGUAAAGGCCUACCAAGGCGACGAUCCGUAACUGGUCUGAGAGGAUGAUCAGUCACACUGGAACUGAGACACGGUCCAGACUCCUACGGGAGGCAGCAGUGGGGAAUAUUGGACAAUGGGCGAAAGCCUGAUCCAGCCAUGCCGCGUGUGUGAAGAAGGUCUUCGGAUUGUAAAGCACUUUAAGUUGGGAGGAAGGGCAGUAAGUUAAUACCUUGCUGUUUUGACGUUACCAGCAGAAUAAGCACCGGCUAACUUCGUG
Molecule: ribosomal RNA, 484 nt
Filed under: uncultured bacterium
Lineage: Bacteria
Description: partial 16S ribosomal RNA
Rfam family: Bacterial small subunit ribosomal RNA
Source: RNAcentral